GAUGAACGCUGGCGGCAUGCCUAAUACAUGCAAGUCGAACGGAAAGGCCCUGCUUUUGUGGGGUGCUCGAGUGGCGAACGGGUGAGUAACACGUGAGUAACCUGCCCUUGACUUUGGGAUAACUUCAGGAAACUGGGGCUAAUACCGGAUAGGAGCUCCUGCUGCAUGGUGGGGGUUGGAAAGUUUCGGCGGUUGGGGAUGGACUCGCGGCUUAUCAGCUUGUUGGUGGGGUAGUGGCUUACCAAGGCUUUGACGGGUAGCCGGCCUGAGAGGGUGACCGGCCACAUUGGGACUGAGAUACGGCCCAG
This 308-nucleotide ribosomal RNA is filed under the name uncultured bacterium. RNAcentral describes it as "bacterial SSU rRNA". It matches the Rfam family "Bacterial small subunit ribosomal RNA", at positions 28 to 334 of the family's 1533-position model. The record is from RNAcentral.